GACGAACGUUGGCGGCGUGCUUAAUACAUGCAAGUCAACUGAAGCAGUGGUAGCAAUAUCGCUGUGGAGGUGGCGCACGGGUGAGUAACACGUAGGUAAUCUGCCUUCAGGUCUGGCAUAACUCCGGGAAACCGGGGCUAAUAGCAGAUGAUGCAGCGGCUCGACAUCGAGACAGUUGUUAAAGCUAUGGCGCCUGAAGAUGAGCCUGCGUCUGAUUAGCUAGUUGGCGGGGUAACGGCCCACCAAGGCAACGAUCAGUAGCUGGUCUGAGAGGAUGAUCAGCCACACUGGAACUGAGACACGGUCCAGACUCCUACGGGAGGCAGCAGUAAGGAAUAUUGCUCAAUGGGAGAAAUCCUGAAGCAGCAACGCCGCGUGAGGGACGAAGGGCUUUUGCUUGCAAACCUCUGUAGUGAGAGAAAAAAAUCCCAAUCUUUGGGACAUGAUGGUAUCUCAAAAGUAAGCCCCGGCUAACUACGUG
RNAcentral lists this ribosomal RNA (481 nucleotides) under uncultured bacterium. Its description in RNAcentral is "partial 16S ribosomal RNA". It matches the Rfam family "Bacterial small subunit ribosomal RNA", at positions 28 to 507 of the family's 1533-position model. The record is from RNAcentral.